CAGGUGGUGCAUGGUUGUCGUCAGCUCGUGUCGUGAGAUGUUGGGUUAAGUCCCGCAACGAGCGCAACCCUUAUUGUUAGUUGCCAUCAUUAAGUUGGGCACUCUAACGAGACUGCCGGUGACAAACCGGAGGAAGGUGGGGAUGACGUCAAAUCAUCAUGCCCUUUAUGUCCUGGGCUACACACGUGCUACAAUGGCCAGAACAGAGGGUUGCUAAGGGGCAACCUGGAGCUAAUCCCUUAAAAACUGGUCUCAGUUCGGAUUGCAGGCUGAAAUUCGCCUGCAUGAAGUCGGAAUCGCUAGUAAUCGCGGAUCAGCAUGCCGCGGUGAAUACGUUCUCGGGUUU
RNAcentral lists this ribosomal RNA (346 nucleotides) under uncultured Dethiobacter sp. RNAcentral's name for it is "bacterial SSU rRNA". It matches the Rfam family "Bacterial small subunit ribosomal RNA", at positions 1035 to 1381 of the family's 1533-position model. The record is from RNAcentral. Lineage: Bacteria; Bacillati; Bacillota; Dethiobacteria; Dethiobacterales; Dethiobacteraceae.